UUUGGAGGCAGUGAGCCUGAAAGUCUGUUGUCUGACAAAAUUAUGACUCCGAUUGUCAGAUUAGAUAGCCAUGCGGGGAAACUUCCUUCGAGUCUGUUCAUGCUCAAAUCCAAGUAUUCAAGACUUGUUUGAUUCUUGAUCCAAUCUGGAAUAUUCCCUUCUAAGCAACAAGAACUAAGUGACAGAUGUGUUAACUUAGACUGUUGAAAGGCAAAACCAUUGUUGUUCCAUUGGAGUUUGUUUCCUCCAAGCCGCAGUAUCUUCAGCUUCUGAAGACCAAACAACCAAGCUGUGGGAAUCUCACCUAACGACCCAUUGUUAUUCUCAAGCUCAAGGGUUUCAAGGUUUUUCAGAUUCUGAAUCGACAAUGGAAUUCCACCCGACAACUUGUUCAUGCUCAAAGACAGAGUUGAUAGAUUGACUAACUUCCCAAUACCGUCUGGAAUCUCAGAAGACAAGGAAUUGUUCUGAACAUCAAAUCUAUUGAGCUUGGUUAACCGUGAUACCGACAAACUUGAACCAUUGAACUUGUUCUUCCUCAAACUCAGCUCCCGAAGUUCGGCAAGGCUACCUUGUAAAAUUUAGAUUCCUGAGCUCUUUGAUGUCACCACUCAAUGUACCGCCAAUAACAUUGUUGCUUAAGUCAAGACGCUGAAGAGUCUUCAAAGAGAAUAAUUCAUGAGGGAUAGUGCCGUUCAAGCUAUUCCUACUCAUGUCAAGAGAGAUCAAGCUGGUCAAGUUCACAAACGCAUCUCCAGGAAUCUCUCCUCCAAAAUCAUUCUGGCUUAAGUUAAGAUACUGAAGAGUCUUCAAAGAGAACAAUUCAUGAGGAAUAGAGCCGUUAAAGAGAUUAGAACUCAUGUCAAGAGAGAUCAAGCUGGUCAAGUUCACAAACGCAUCUCCAGGAACCUCUCCUUCAAAACCACUUAAGCUUAAGUUGAGAUACUUAAGAGUCUUCAAAGAGAACAAUUUAGGUGGGAUAGAGCCAUUAAAGAGAUUAUAACUCAUGUCAAGAGAUAUCAACCUUGGCAAGUUCAAAAACGCAUCUCCAUGCAUCUCUCCUUCAAAACCACUCAGGCUUAUGUUAAGAUACUGAAGAUUCUUAAAAGAGAACAAUUUAGGAGGGAUAGAGCCUUUAAAGAGAUUAUAACUCAUGUUAAGAGAGAUCAACCUGGUCAUAUUCACAAACGCAUCUCCAGGAAUCUCUCCUUGUAUGUAAUUAUACGAGAUAUCAAGCGUAACGAGAGAACUUAUACGCAGGACCGGUCUCAGAAUGCUUAAACUCACUGAGACCAUGUUCUGCGUAUAAAUGAGGUCUGCCUUGCCAUAAUCGGAAAUAGCGCUCAAAUCUAGGCCUAUCACUUCUCUUGAAGGCGAACGAGCGUUACAUCUCACAAGUUGCCAUUUGCAGCAAUCGGAGUUUGGCCUCCAUGUCAUGAAAUGUCCCAAUAAGUCGAUUUCAGCUUUGGAGUUGUUGACAUUGUGAGUCAUCAGCAAGUUCUUGAACUCGAGAAGGGAUUGUCUUUGGUCUUGUGGGCAAGACAAAGAUAGUUUUGGUAUGAAGAAGACGAAGAAGAAGAUGAAGAGCAAGCAGGAGAGAGGACAUUGCUUCAGCAUUUUUUUUUCUUUUUCUCAAAGGUUUUUUGCCGUUCGCCACUUGCAGUGUCUUCUUUGUCUUGCUUUGUAAUUAUGACAAGUCCAAGUUGAUUGGUAAAAUGACUAAAAUCCGAACAAAAGAUUACUUUUCGGGUCUUCCACCUCA
Non-coding RNA from Camelina sativa (false flax), 1762 nucleotides. Lineage: Eukaryota; Viridiplantae; Streptophyta; Magnoliopsida; Brassicales; Brassicaceae. The record is from RefSeq and is a predicted model, not a curated record.